GGGGGAUAACUACUCGAAAGAGUGGCUAAUACCGCAUACGCCCUACGGGGGAAAGGGGGGGAUCGCAAGACCUCUCACUAUUGGAGCGGCCGAUAUCGGAUUAGCUAGUUGGUGGGGUAAAGGCUCACCAAGGCAACGAUCCGUAGCUGGUUUGAGAGGACGACCAGCCACACUGGGACUGAGACACGGCCCAGACUCCUACGGGAGGCAGCAGUGGGGAAUUUUGGACAAUGGGGGAAACCCUGAUCCAGCCAUCCCGCGUGUAUGAUGAAGGCCUUCGGGUUGUAAAGUACUUUUGGCAGAGAAGAAAAGGUAUCCCCUAAUACGGGAUACUGCUGACGGUAUCUGCAGAAUAAGCACCGGCUAACUACGUGCCAGCAGCCGCGGUAAUACGUAGGGUGCAAGCGUUAAUCGGAAUUACUGGGCGUAAAGCGUGUGUAGGCGGUUCGGAAAGAAAGAUGUGAAAUCCCAGGGCUCAACCUUGGAACUGCAUUUUUAACUGCCGAGCUAGAGUAUGUCAGAGGGGGGUAGAAUUCCACGUGUAGCAGUGAAAUGCGUAGAUAUGUGGAGGAAUACCGAUGGCGAAGGCAGCCCCCUGGGAUAAUACUGACGCUCAGACACGAAGGCGUGGGGGAGCAAACAGGAUUAGAUACCCUGGUAGUCCACGCCCUAAAACGAUGUCAAACUAGCUGGUUGGGGCCGUUAGGCCUUAGUAGCGCAUCUGACGCGUGAAGUUGACCGCCUGGGGGAGUACGGUCGCAAGAUUAAAACUCAAGGAAUUUGACGGGGGGACCCGCACAAGCGGUGGGAUGAUGUGGAUUAAUUUCGAUGGCAACGCGAAGAAACCUUACCUACCCGUGGACAUGUCUGGAAAAGCCGAAAAAAUUUGGCCGUGCCUCGCAAGAAAAACCGGAACACAAGGUGCUGCAUGGCCUGUCCGUCGAGCUUCCUGUCAUGAGAUUGUGGGUUAAGUCCCGCAACCGAGCCGCAAACCGUUGUGUCAUUAAUUUGCUA
RNAcentral lists this ribosomal RNA (1014 nucleotides) under Alcaligenes sp. NCCP-1215. Its description in RNAcentral is "bacterial SSU rRNA". It matches the Rfam family "Bacterial small subunit ribosomal RNA", at positions 138 to 1124 of the family's 1533-position model. Lineage: Bacteria; Pseudomonadati; Pseudomonadota; Betaproteobacteria; Burkholderiales; Alcaligenaceae. The record is from RNAcentral.